RNAcentral lists this long non-coding RNA (3377 nucleotides) under Salmo salar (Atlantic salmon). RNAcentral's name for it is "lncRNA (ENSSSAG00000101347.1)". Lineage: Eukaryota; Metazoa; Chordata; Actinopteri; Salmoniformes; Salmonidae. The record is from RNAcentral.
CUCACAGACAGGAAGACAGUGAGCAGCACCUGUGUAACCUCACAGACAGGAAGACAGUGAGCAGCACCUGUGUAACCUCACAGACAGGAAGACAGUGUUCAACGUGCUUCAUUCAGAACAACCUUUGGUCCGACAGAAAACAACAUUCAUUCAAACCAUUAUGCAACCUCUCUGUUGGAGUUAGAGGCUGGGGACGAUGUUGACAGUGGAACACUUUGUAACCUCCGGACUAAACUGUUGCUGUUAGCAGGUACUAUGUCUUUUUGUAACACUGUCUAUGGGUUGUUUAGAACAAACAGUGGGACCUCUAAGAUGAUAGAGGGAGAGAGAGACACGGGACCAGAACAGGACAGUUCUUUUGUGUCAGUGUUUUUGGAGGAAAUGUAAAGGAUACAUUUUAUACAAAAGUGAAGCCGCUUCAAAUACCCAAAACCCCUUGUCCCCUGAGCCUUCCCAAUCCCAAACAUAUACCCAGCCCUGCCCAGCCUCUACACUCACGUCACCUGGUCUAACCUAUUCAUGACAGGAUAUACCCAGCCCUGCCCAGCCUCUACCCUCGCUUCACCUGGUCUAACCUAUUCAUGACAGGAUAUACCCAGCCCUGCUUAGCCUCUACACUCACGUCACCUGGUCUAACCUAUUCAUGACAGGAUAUACCCAGCCCUGCCCAGCCUCUACCCUCACUUCACCUGGUCUAACCUAUUCAUGACAGGAUAUACCCAGCCCUGCCCAGCCUCUACCCUCACUUCACCUGGUCUAACAUAUUCAUGACAGGUCUAACCUAUUCCUGACAGGUCUGGUCUAACCUAUUCCUGACAGGUCUGGUCUAACCUAUUCCUGACAGGUCUGAUCUAACCUAUUCCUGACAGGUCUGGUCUAACCUAUUCCUGACAGGUCUGAUCUAACCUAUUCAUGACAGGUCUGGUCUAACCUAUUCAUGACAGGCCAGGUCUAACCUAUUCAUGACUGGUCUAACCUAUUCAUUACAGGUCUGGUCUAACCUAUUCAUGACAGGUCUAACCUAUUCAUGACAGGUCUAACCUAUUCAUGACAGGUCUGGUCUAACCUAUUCAUGACAGGUCUGGUCUAACCUAUUCAUGACAGGUCUGGUCUAACCUAUUCCUGACAGGUCUGGUCUAACCUAUUCCUGACAGGUCUGGUCUAACCUAUUCAUGACAGGUCUGGUCUAACCUAUUCAUGACAGGUCUGGUCUAACCUAUUCCUGACAGGUCUAACCUAUUCAUGACAGGCCAGGUCUAACCUAUUCAUGACAGGCCAGGUCUAACCUAUUCAUGACAGGCCUGGUCUAACCUAUUCAUGACAGGCCAGGUCUAACCUAUUCAUGACAGGCCUGGUCUAACCUAUUCAUGACAGGCCAGGUCUAACAUAUUCAUGACAGGCCAGGUCUAACAUAUUCAUGACAGGCCAGGUCUAACCUAUUCAUGACAGGCCUGGUCUAACCUAUUCAUGACAGGCCAGGUCUAACCUAUUCAUGACAGGCCUGGUCUAACCUAUUCAUGACAGGUUUGGGUAAAUAACAGGAGAAAUGUGAUGACUAAAACACCAGAGAACUGGGGAGAAAAUAGGAGUCAACGUCAUAAACUGACUGACAUACAAUGAGUGUACAAAACAUUAAGAACACCUUCCUAAUAUUGACUUGCACCCUUUUGCCCUCAGAACAGCCUCAAUUUGUCGGGGUAUGGACUCUACAAGGUGUUGAAAGCGUUCCACGGGGAUGCAGUUGUGUCAAGUCAGCUGGAUGUCCUUUGGUUGGUUAACCAUUCUUGAUACACACGGGAAACUGUUGAGCGUGAAAAACCCAGCAACGUUGCAGUUCUUGACACAACGGUGCGCCCAGCACCUACUACCAUACCCUGUUCAAAGACACAUUUUUCUUGCCCACUCACCCUCUGAAUGUCCCACAUACACAAUCCAUGUCUCAAUUGUCUCAAGUCUUAAAAAUCCUUCUUUAACCUGUCCUUCACUGAUUGAAAUGGAUUUAACAAGUGACAUCAAUAAGGGAUAAUAGCUUUCACCUGGUCAGUCUAGGGGUGGCAGGUAGCCUAGUGGUUAGAGCGUUGGACUAGUAACCAAAAGGUUGCAAGAUCGAAUCCCUGAGCUGACAAGGUACAAAUCUGUCGUUCUGCCCCUGAACAAGGCAGUUAACCCACUGUUCCUAGGCCGUCAUUGAAAAUAAGAAUUUGUUCUUAACUGACUUGCCUAGUUAAAUAAAAGUAAAACGUAAUGGAAAGAACAGGUGUUUUUGUACACUCAUAAUGUUUUGUACACUCAGUGUAUAUGUAAAUAAAUGAAAUGUAUACACACAUUGAAAUGAAUUUCAAACCCAUUGAAGUGAAUGUAAUGUAUUUCAACACAGGGUAUUACAUUUGUAAAAAUGAAUCAAUCACUCACCACCAGCAUUUACUACAGGACUGAGUUCACGUCUCCGUGUUUCACAGCUGUGUUGUGAUUGGAUACGUUUUGCAGUUCUGGGCUCUCAUUGGAUGAUUUUGCCAGUUGUGGGCUUUCAUCUCACCCUGUGUCACUUGUUCUCAUUGAGUUAUUUGUUGUAAAUUGUCGCCAGCUGUUACUGUGUUAGACUGUCCUAUUAGGUCUCUGUUCUGUCUGUCACUCUGUCAGACUGUCCUAGCAGGACUCUGUUCUGACUGUCACUCUGUCAGACUGUCCUAGCAGGACUCUGUUCUGUCUGUCACUCUGUCAGACUGUCCUAGCAGGUCUCUGUUCUGACUGUCACUCUGUCAGACUGUUCUAGCAGGUCUCUGUUCUGACUGUCACUCUGUCAGACUGUUCUAGCAGGACUCUGUUCUGACUGUCACUCUGUCAGACUGUCCUAGCAGGACUCUGUUCUGACUGUCACUCUGUCAGACUGAUCUAGUAGGACUCUGUUCUGACUGUCACUCUGUCAGACUGUCCUAGCAGGACUCUGUUCUGUCUGUCACUCUGUCAGACUGAUCUAGUAGGACUCUGUUCUGACUGUCACUCUGUCAGACUGUCCUAGCAGGACUCUGUUCUGUCUGUCACUCUGUCAGACUGUCCUAUUAGGUCUCUGUUCUGUCUGUGACUCUGUCAGACUGUUCUAGCAGGACUCUGUUCUGACUGUCACUCUGUCAGACUGUCCUAGCAGGUCUCUGUUCUGACUGUCCUAGCAGGUCUCCACAGCAUUCUGGGAGUACUGUUCUGUCUGUAAAGUCAAAUCCCCUGGUUGCUCGUUUUAUGUUUUCUAUUGUAAACAAUGAGAUGCUUUUGGAAUAAAAGUCUAAAGCAAAACAUUCCAGUUAGCUACAGCUGUGUGUCACUCUGUACCGCUGUGUGUCACUCUGUACUGCUGUGUGUCACUCUGUACCGCUGUGUGUCAC